UACGUAGGGUGCAAGCGUUGUCCGGAAUUAUUGGGCGUAAAGAGCUUGUAGGCGGUUUGUCGCGUCUGCUGUGAAAUUUCGGGGCUCAACCCCGAACUUGCAGUGGGUACGGGCAGACUGGAGUGUGGUAGGGGAGACUGGAAUUCCUGGUGUAGCGGUGAAAUGCGCAGAUAUCAGGAGGAACACCGAUGGCGAAGGCAGGUCUCUGGGCCACUACUGACGCUGAGAAGCGAAAGCAUGGGGAGCGAACAGG
This 253-nucleotide ribosomal RNA is filed under the name uncultured bacterium. RNAcentral's name for it is "partial 16S ribosomal RNA". It matches the Rfam family "Bacterial small subunit ribosomal RNA", at positions 524 to 776 of the family's 1533-position model. The record is from RNAcentral.